GGGGCUGUAGUUCAAUGGCAGAACUUCUGCUUCCCAAGCAGAUAGCGCGGGUUCGAUUCCCGUCAGCCCCUC
RNAcentral lists this transfer RNA (72 nucleotides) under Microbacterium azadirachtae. RNAcentral's name for it is "tRNA-Gly". It matches the Rfam family "tRNA". From Rfam's summary of the family: Transfer RNA (tRNA) molecules are approximately 80 nucleotides in length. Their secondary structure includes four short double-helical elements and three loops (D, anti-codon, and T loops). The record is from RNAcentral. Lineage: Bacteria; Bacillati; Actinomycetota; Actinomycetes; Micrococcales; Microbacteriaceae. RNAcentral also lists the same sequence under 1 other name.